GACGAACGCUGGCGGCGUGCUUAACACAUGCAAGUCGAACGGAAAGGCCCUGCUUUUGUGGGGUGCUCGAUUGGCGAACGGGUGAGUAACACGUGAGUAACCUGCCCUUGACUUUGGGAUAACUUCAGGAAACUGGGGCUAAUACCGGAUAGGAGCUCCUGCUGCAUUGUGGGGGUUGGAAAGUUUCGGCGGUUGGGGAUGGUCUCGCGGCUUAUCAGCUUGUUGGUGGGGUAGUGGCUUACCAAGGCUUUGACGGGUAGCCGGCCUGAGAGGGUGACCGGCGACAUUGGGACUGAGAUACGGCCCAGACGCCAACGGGAGGCAGCAGUGGGGAAUAUUGCACAAUGGGCGGAAGCCUGAUGCAGCAACGCCGCGUGCGGGAUGAAGGCGUUCGGGUUGUAAACAGAUUUAGCAUGUGAAGAAGAGUGAGUGACGGUAAUGGGUAAAGAAGCACCGGCUAAAUACGUG
RNAcentral lists this ribosomal RNA (468 nucleotides) under uncultured bacterium. RNAcentral's name for it is "partial 16S ribosomal RNA". It matches the Rfam family "Bacterial small subunit ribosomal RNA", at positions 28 to 507 of the family's 1533-position model. The record is from RNAcentral.